Xyrichtys novacula (pearly razorfish) is the source of this 2515-nucleotide non-coding RNA. The record is from the annotation of a GenBank genome assembly. NCBI's taxonomy places the organism in Eukaryota, Metazoa, Chordata, Actinopteri, Labriformes, Labridae.
AAAAGAAACAGUCGAGGACGUGAUGAAUUCGAGGCGACAGAUGAGACGGCGGUGAGCUGCGUUGCGGUACCAUAAUGCGCUGGAGAUAUGGAUAACAACUGACACCACUGGCAGGUCUUAUGAAGUUUGAUUUCAUUUGUCAGGCCUCUUCUACUUUGUCUUUUAGCUCCUGCACGCUCUCUCACUCUUCAAUCAUGGUGGUAAAAGCUCAUUUUGAUAGCCUGAAGACACUCACACUCGCUCUCGUUUAGCAUGCAAAGCCACAAAUAUAGCUGGUUCAAGUUGGCAUAGUGUGUUGUAUCUAAUGCUGUAUUGUACACGUAGAAUUGCAUGUGGUGCGUUUAUAGAAAGAAGCUAAAUGAACCUGAAUGUCCACGGGGGUGUUCUGAUCUCAGAAAUUUCACAUCACGGAGAUGAACAUGUAUCACGUAAACCACAAAUGACAGAGAAAUAACCAUCAGCUUCAGUAUUUGAUCGCUAAGUAGACAAAUGGAGCGGUAAGUGUCCAAGCCUGUCUCGGCAAAUACCUUGCAUGCUUGUCUCCAGCCGACCACAUGACGCUAAUUCCUGACUGAAGCGCUCCUCCCGCGUAUCCCUAAUCCGGCCUGUGAAAUGUGACAAGAUCAUUCUUUAGGCCUACUUUAGUCUGAAUAAUCUGCCCAUCACAGACAUUCAUCCCGACCUGCACAGUGCUUCCAGUGUCAUAACACGCUACCUGUACAUUUUCACCCCCGGCUUAGGCUCCAUAAAUUAAAUCUAGACGAGUAAAUGUGAGGGAUCAGCACUGGGUGUUGCACAUGUGCAGAAUAGUGAAUGUGAAUCUUAAACAGAGUGAUCACAAACAAAUACAAGUGUUUGGUGUCUUCUAUUAAAAAUGUUAUACUUGCUAAGUUGCAGGAUAGAGUUUGUACAACAAUUGAAUCUGUUAUAGUUUCGUCAAAGAUUGUUUUUUACUUAUUAGUUGUGGUAAAAUUUCAAUUUUCUGAGAGGAUUUACAACUUUGUUAAAGUUCUGGAUUAUUAUAAAUCAAAUCAUUUGAGUUUGGAACUCCUGGUUACAAAAUGGAUUAAAUGUAAUAAGAUAAGCUGUAGAGAAUCUUUGGGGGAAUCUGGACAUUCAUUUUGUGGUUUGGUCCAACAAUCAUUGUGAUUUUUUUCCAAGUCCAAAUUCUUGUAAUUUGAAUAUAUAAGGUUUUAAGCCCCUGGUCAACCAAAACAAGCAUUUUAAACUAGUACAGUUAGGCUUAAUGAGAUUCUGGCGGGCAUUGUUCAACAAGAAUUAAUCUCAAAUGUAGAAUUUCAUGUUUUUUUCUGUGUGAUAUUUUUGUAAAUUUAAUACUUUGGGAGUCUUGUCAAACAAAACAAGAAAUUCAAGAAAUUUUUUUGGCCUUUAUGAAAUCAUUUCAGGCAUUUUCUUGCCAAGAGUAAUUUUAAAAGUCAAGAUUUUAUCCUCUUUUUCUGUAUUACUCUUUUGAAAAUUGGAUAUUUUGGGGGUUUGAAUCUCCAAUUCACAAAAAGACAAGCCACCCACAACAUGUGAGAACUUGAUUAGUUUUUCUGUGGGUGUAAAAACUGAACAUUUGCUGGGCUUUAAGCUCUUGAUGGACAGAACCAAGCAAUUUUGCCUCAUAAAUUGGACUGUAUACAAUCCUAACCUGUAUUUUAUGUUACAGGAUCCAUCCUUAAUAUGAGGAACUUAAAUUUCCUUUCUUGUACACUUGAUAUUUAAGGGUUUGAAUUUUUGGUCUGACAAAACAAGAAAUGUAAAGAAACUAUUUGAAAUCUAGGAAAUUGUGACAGACCUUUUCUAGCUGUGAAAUGAGCAACAAGUCAAGAAAAUAGGACCAGCAGAUCCAGAACUGAUUUCAAGAAGAUUUUGUCAUGGACAAAUUGAGCUAAGUGAAGCCACAAACCAAACUUUGCCACCAGUAAACAUGAUCGCACUCGCCUGUUUCUCCUAAACCUUUCAGACAAGUCCAGUACUGACAGUCUUACUGGAGCUUCUUGAAGUUUCCACAAAGUUGUGCGGCAGUAAUAUGGCAGAUGUCAGCUUGAAUUGAGCUGUUGGUUCCAGCUGCUAACAGGGAAGGAGAAGGUGAAGUUAACUCUUCUCUACAGCAUGACUACAACCCACCAGGAUCCUCACCUGCCUGAUGGCAAGUGGACGACAGCUGAUAAUCUCCACAAGGCUUUGCUUCCUUACUCCUGACCAGCUUUAACUAAUCGAGGAGACAACGUGAAAAAGACCCUUCACCGCCGCGAUCUUGGCUGCACCUCAACUUUUCCUAACUGUCUCCGUCAUGCUGACUUCCGGCGAGAUACUGCGAGCUCUUGGUGUCAGCCAUGGGUUGAGCUCUUGCAAAUGAAGUCAGUAUUUGACACAGACGGAGGGGGAGGAAUAGAGGAACGGGUAUGACUUCUAAGUAUCUGAAAUGUCCUGUCUUAAACACAUAAUAUCCGUAAUGCUUCCUGACACUUUCUCCUGUAACCUCUUAUUCUGUGCCAGCUUCUGUGGG